RNAcentral lists this ribosomal RNA (402 nucleotides) under uncultured bacterium. RNAcentral's name for it is "bacterial SSU rRNA". It matches the Rfam family "Bacterial small subunit ribosomal RNA", at positions 355 to 774 of the family's 1533-position model. The record is from RNAcentral.
UGGGGAAUCUUGGACAAUGGGCGCAAGCCUGAUCCAGCCAUGCCGCGUGAGUGAAGAAGGCCUUAGGGUUGUAAAGUUCUUUUGCCAGGGACGAUAAUGACGGUACCUGGAGAAUAAGCCCCGGCAAACUUCGUGCCAGCAGCCGCGGUAAUACGAAGGGGGCUAGCGUUGUUCGGAUUUACUGGGCGUAAAGCGCACGUAGGCGGGUCGUUAAGUCAGGGGUGAAAUCCCGGAGCUCAACUCCGGAACUGCCUUUGAUACUGGCGACCGUGAGGCUGGAAGAGGUUAGUGGAAUUCCCAGUGUAGAGGUGAAAUUCGUAGAUAUUGGGAAGAACACCAGUGGCGAAGGCGGCUAACUGGUCCAGAUCUGACGCUGAGGUGCGAAAGCGUGGGGAGCAAACA